This 680-nucleotide long non-coding RNA is filed under the name Olea europaea subsp. europaea. Lineage: Eukaryota; Viridiplantae; Streptophyta; Magnoliopsida; Lamiales; Oleaceae. The record is from RNAcentral.
GCGAGCUUGCCGGGAAAUAUCGCGAUUAGCGAUCUGCGCACCAACUAAAGAGAAACGCGACAAUCGUUUUGGGGGGCGAAACUCGCGCUCGCUUGACUCAACGCCCGUUUGACUUUAUUCAGAUUCUCUCACGCGCGAUGUUCUCUUACACUUCUGAAACUAAUCGAGCCUCCGAGAACGUCAGCUCGGUCAAUCUCUGGACUCGUCGCACUUGGCCUCGAGUCGGCACGCGCGCACUUGUUCGCCUCCAUAACACCUUAGUUGGUCCUGCUCGUCACCUGCCCGCAACGGCAAGUGGCUUUGGGCCGGCCCGAUGUUAUCGCCGGCCACUGGCAGGACCUCAGGCCUCAUCCAUCCUCUCGCUCGACAGCCAGUGAGUGAUGAGCGAAUCCCAUGGAUCUUGUUGUGGGGUCGGCAUCUUGUUGGGACGCAAUCGCUCCUCGUUCCUGGUCAAGGAUUGGCAUGGACCUCUCGGGCUCACAUAUAGCGUCCCAAACCACGCAGUGAGAUUGGCAUCUUGUCGUCUUGUUUGUCGCGAAUCGCUUUCCUUUGUCUAUCGAAUGGCUCUCUUGUGCUGAUUGGCUGAUGACUUUGGAGAUUUUUCGCGAAUUUGUGCUUGUGUAGCCUCAGGUGAGCCUUGACGCAACAAUUUAUACAGAAUUCAAUCAACAGGAUAAAAG